Molecule: ribosomal RNA, 462 nt
Filed under: Coriocella nigra
Lineage: Eukaryota; Metazoa; Mollusca; Gastropoda; Littorinimorpha; Velutinidae
Description: partial 16S large subunit ribosomal RNA
Rfam family: Bacterial large subunit ribosomal RNA
Source: RNAcentral
GAGUCUGGCCUGCCCGGUGAAUAAAAAUUUAACGGCCGCGGUACUCUGACCGUGCGAAGGUAGCAUAAUCAUUUGUCUUAUAAUUGAAGUCUGGAAUGAAAGGUUUAACAAGGGUGAAGCUGUCUCUAGUCUUUUGCUAGAACUUAAUUAUUAAGUUAAAAGGCUUAAGUUAAAUUAGAAGACGAGAAGACCCUAUCGAACUUGAGGAAAAUUUAUGUAAUUCUUAACAUAAAUGGAAAUAGAAUGUAUAAAAAACUUUGGUUGGGGCGACCUGGGAACAAGAAAAGCUUCCUUCUAAGAAAAAAUUUAUAAGUUAUGAUCCACUUUUAGUGAUCAAGAGAAUUAGUUACCGUAGGGAUAACAGCAUUAUCUUUUUUGAGAGCUCAUAUCGAAAAAGAGGUUUGUGACCUCGAUGUUGGACCAGGAUAACCUAGAGAUGUAGAAGUCUCUAAAUGGUUGGUC